Molecule: small RNA, 585 nt
Filed under: Pan troglodytes (chimpanzee)
Lineage: Eukaryota; Metazoa; Chordata; Mammalia; Primates; Hominidae
Description: processed transcript
Source: RNAcentral
ACCAAAGGCCUGGCUACAAGUAGCUGAGCUGCACAUCCGGGACGUGCGAGGCCAUGACGCCAGCAUCUACGUGUGCAGAGUGGAGGUGCUGGGCCUUGGUGUCGGGACAGGGAAUGGGACUCGGCUGGUGGUGGAGAAAGAACAUCCUCAGCUAGGGGCUGGUACAGUCCUCCUCCUUCGGGCUGGAUUCUAUGCUGUCAGCUUUCUCUCUGUGGCCGUGGGCAGCACCGUCUAUUACCAGGGCAAAUAUGCCAAAUCUACUCUCUCCGGAUUCCCCCAACUCUGAACUUUCCCUUCCACCAGGUCUGACCUGGAAAGGUCCAAGAAGGCAGCUGCCGGCUGUGGUCCCAGCGCCCCUCCCACCACCAUGUGGGAGCUCAGCACACCUGCUUCCCCCAGUCCCAGGAGGCUGAGCCUGAUUGUCCUGAGAAAUGGGAAGGAUCAGAUAUGACUCCUCCUUGGCAACUGCCCUUUCCUGCCAGGCCCACACAUACCCUCUUCUGGCUGUUAGGGGAGCUUGGGUCCCUGAACACUGUCAUUCACCCAAUAAAUUACUAUUUGACCCCAGAGUGGGUGGAAGGGUGA